UGGAUCCCCUAAAAAAAAAACUCUCGCUGGAGAGAGAACCAGUUCCCAAAUCCCAAUUCCAUUCCAACACACACACAGGACACAACCGGCGGCGGCUCGACUCGAUCGUUCCCUUCCCCGGCGGCGGCGGCGAGAUCUCUCCCGUACGCAGCGUUUCCCCCCAAACCCUAACCCUAGCCAGCACCCUCGCAUCGCACCAACUCCGCCGGCCGGCCUCGACCCCCCAUGGCGCCGCCGUCGCAGCCGCGGCUGACGGAGAUCCCGGAGCAGCUGCUGGAGGAGAUCUUCCUGCGCCUCGCGACCCCAGCGGACCUCGCCCGCGCCAAGGCCGCCUGCGUCGCCUUCCGCCGCUUCAUCGCCGACCGCGCCUUCCUCGCCCUCUUCCGCCGCCGCCACUCCCCGCCGCUCCUCGGCUUCCUCGACCGCGCCGGGUUCCACCCUUCCUCCCCCGGCUUCUUCGUCGGCGGCGACGCCGACUUCACCUUCUCCUUCCUCCCCACCCACUGCCGCUGGACCGCCGUGGACUCCCGCGACGGCCGCGUGCUCCUCGCCCCCACCCCCGAUCUCGUUCAUCAGAGGUUUCCCCCAAUUUUCACGGAGCUCGUGGUCUCCGAUCCCCUUCACCGGCGCUACGUCCUGAUUCCCCGGGUGCCUCUCUGCAUUUCCCAUGGGGUGUUCUCGGAAUGGAGCGCCCCCUUCCUCCUGCCCCCCACCCAGGAGGAGGAGGAGGACUCGACGGCGUUCAGAGUGAUCUGGUUGGCACACAACAACGGAGCGCUCUCUGGUUUCGUCUUCUCCUCGAGGACCGGGCAAUGGGUUGAAGCCGUCGCCCGGAGAUGGGAGGAUUUCGGGAUUACGCUCUACAUGGCCACCACGGAGUUGAUCCAAGAGGGCCCCCUUCUCAGGCGCCAUUACGCGUAUGGCUGUUUCUACUGGAACUUCUUCACAGCUGGGAGGAUCGUGUUAAUCGUGCUCGACAUGCGCAUAAUGGAUUUCUCGGAUCAUGACUUCAUGCCGGCGGGAUUGACUAUGGAAGAGAUGCAGGAUGCCGCCAUUGUGGAGGCCGGGGAUGGUAGGCUUGGGUUGUUUGCUAUGCGCCAUGACGGUGGCAUGUCGGAACUCCGUUAUUUCAUCAGGCGAGACAUGGAUGAGAGGUUUGCCUCGUGGAAUCUGGUGAAGACUAUCCCGCUAGGUUCUGGACACCGCCAAUCUAUCAAAGCUACAACGGAGAGGUUCUUGCUCCUUGAAAGGGGCAUAAACUUAAUGCAGGAGCCGCCAACUGAUACGGGAAUUUUUUCACUCAACGUCAAGACUUUGAAGCUUGACAAGGUUUCUGGCCUAAGAUUCAACUCCGGAGGCGGCGGCAGAGCGCUCAUCUAUACAAACUUCCCACCGACAUUGUUGUCUUCGCCAACAUUAUGAAGUGAGACAUGACGAACAGCAGGCUGAGUUGGCCGCCGCGCCGCCGGAUGGCUGAGUCGCUUGGAUGGAGGGAGCCGACUGCCAUAUAUGGCCGGCCGCUCGGUGGACAGAGAGGGUGGGGCGACCUGACUGCCAUAUAUGGCCGGCCGUGUGGUGGAAAGGGGGGGGGGGGACCCUGCUGCCAUAUGGCCGCCCACGCCGUGAAGAGAGAGAGGGUGUGCGACCCCCUCUGCCAUAUGGCCAGACCAUCGCGGUGGAGAGAGAGACAGGCUGCACAUGUAUAGAGAGAGAGAGAGGUGGGCAGCGACGGCCGAUGGGCUGCCCGCCAGGGGUGGGCUCACCUUUGCACAAAGACGAAACUGGGGGGAAAACUGGCGCUGAGCUGAAGCUGGGGUAAAGCGAUUCGAAGAGCUUAGCUAGCAAGUGAUAUUCGUUUUGAGAGCUUGGGAGUUGCUGGAACAAAGGAGUACAACCACUCCUGAUAUAUUCAUUGUAAUGAAAGCCGAAGACUCCUUUGUUCAUUACAUAUACUGAACGAUGGUAAUGACAAGGCUGAAAAUGAAGGUCCAUUUUUCUACUCGAAGAAGACAUGCAUGUACACCCUGCAGCUAGCUAGGGAAUUGUUAAUUAGAUAUACUGUUUUCCAAUCUUAUGUUAGAUAUACUGUUUUCCUAUCUUAUGUUAGAUAUACUGUUUUCCUAUUCGUUGGCGUUUAUGUUACUUGGAUCGAAGAAACAGGUUUGAAUGUUUGAUUUUAUGACACCUGUUUGUGGUUAUUGGAUGUUUUGGUAUACUGUUCACUCCUGAUA
This is an RNA transcript of Brachypodium distachyon (stiff brome), 2231 nucleotides long. RefSeq lists it as uncharacterized. The record is from RefSeq and is a predicted model, not a curated record. The transcript has 3 exons. Lineage: Eukaryota; Viridiplantae; Streptophyta; Magnoliopsida; Poales; Poaceae.